Molecule: ribosomal RNA, 537 nt
Filed under: Neonectria galligena
Lineage: Eukaryota; Fungi; Ascomycota; Sordariomycetes; Hypocreales; Nectriaceae
Description: partial 18S ribosomal RNA
Source: RNAcentral
AUGGGAGCGCGCUGGAGAGAUGGUAAGUUACUGGGUGGCGCCUGGGGCGCGCCCGCCGCAGCGCCUACGGCAGGGCCGUUGGUGCCGUGGUGGGCAUUCCGAUUUCCCCCUCUGAUUCCCCAGGGCCUCCGUCCGCCGCACCGCACCCGCUAGGGCCGUGUGGCUUAGGUGCCCCAGGAGGAGGACGCAGCGCGGGGCUUCUACCAUUGCGGUGUCCGCCACGCGAGGUUAACUCCCGUUGCUCGGUUGGUAAGUCUGGCCAGCGGCCAGCUACCCACAGAUCCCAUCCGGCAGCGGUCGGGGGCGAUCCCCCGUCCCCUGUAUCCAGGCGACUCCAAUACGCCGUGCAUCCUGAGAUGUCGGUUUCGUGGAGGUCGACGUCCCACUAUGAACCCCCCGCGAGCGAAACCGGAACCUGCAAUCCUGUUCAUAAGGCCACGCAGUGGUUGUCUGCAAAAUCAGGUACUGUUUUGGUGCGCAACGCCGCCCUUUUCGCCGUGCGUUCAAACCCCCAACCGGGGCUUACUGACUGGGUAC